AUGAAGAACCAUAUUAUGGGAUACUUCUCAAGACUCUUCACCUCGGAAGUUAAUCAACCUGACCCGAGGGUCCUAUCUCUUGUCAAAAGGAAAGUAACAGAUGAAAUGAAUAAUGCUCUUCUAGCCCCUUAUACGGCCGAGGAGGUUCAGAAGGCCCUUUUUGAUAUUGGAGAUUUAAAAGCACCGGGUCCGGAUGGGUUACAUGCUAUUUUUUAUAAAAGAUUUUGGCCCAUGUUAGGGGAUGACCUAAUAGAAGAGGUACUCCGGGCGGUGAAUACUUGUACUAUUUGUGAUGGUUGGAAUGAGACUACAAUUGUAAUGAUCCCAAAGAUUAAUUCUCCCGAAAAGGUAACUCAAUUUCGA
RNAcentral lists this ribosomal RNA (363 nucleotides) under Triticum aestivum (bread wheat). RNAcentral describes it as "partial small subunit ribosomal RNA". The record is from RNAcentral. Lineage: Eukaryota; Viridiplantae; Streptophyta; Magnoliopsida; Poales; Poaceae.